GGGGGGGGGUGUAUUUACAUGUUAAAAAAAAUUGGGUGCUGAAUCUUUAUGUUAUUAGUAGUGAUUUGGUCCAGUUCAAAAAGGUCAAAUUUUAUCACGCCUGAAGCUGUCAAACUGAAUUUUACACCUCCUUAACACAGAAUUGUCAAUAUUUUGAGUUAGAGCUGGUAGAAGUUUCUAUAAUUUUGAUAUUAUUUGUCCCACUGGUAGAACACUACACUGUAAAAAUCUUUUUGAGAAAGAGCAGCUGCGAUUUUUUAAAUUUGAAUUUAUUGUCUAAAAGAAAUGCACUACGAAAUAACUGUGUUCUCGGGCCAACUGAUUUAUUUAUUAAGAAACGUCUGGUAUACCUUAUAUACUUACAUAUAGAUCCAUAUACAAUGAAGGUUGUAGAAAAAUGGUAGAUCCGAAGGUUUUGACCAUCAAAAUUGUGCAUUAGAAAUAAUAUUUAGGACCAGAAGAUGUUCUUCAUGGAGCACCAUAGAAAAACG
This 491-nucleotide long non-coding RNA is filed under the name Mytilus galloprovincialis (Mediterranean mussel). The record is from RNAcentral. Lineage: Eukaryota; Metazoa; Mollusca; Bivalvia; Mytilida; Mytilidae.